This 260-nucleotide long non-coding RNA is filed under the name Homo sapiens (human). RNAcentral describes it as "HSALNT0278516". The record is from RNAcentral. Lineage: Eukaryota; Metazoa; Chordata; Mammalia; Primates; Hominidae.
ACUCACUGAAGAAACUGAAAUUGCACUUUAAGAUUUAAGGGAAAUGUUAAACAGGAACGAUUUUCUAAAAACAAGGUUACUCAAGGUCUUAGGCAAUGUCUUAACUACAAUUCCAGUUUUUCUCUCUCUGAGAAUGGAUUGCUUUGGCUGGGGAUUACUCACGGUGAACUUGCUUUGCGGGGAGAGUUGCCGACUGUCUUAAUUACAUUUUGGAAAACACAACAACUUGGGGUUAAACUGGAGAAGUUAAUGAUGAAUGC